GAUGAACGCUGGCGGCGUGCCUAAUACAUGCAAGUCGAGCGAACAGACGAGGAGCUUGCUCCUCUGACGUUAGCGGCGGACGGGUGAGUAACACGUGGAUAACCUACCUAUAAGACUGGGAUAACUUCGGGAAACCGGAGCUAAUACCGGAUAAUAUAUUGAACCGCAUGGUUCAAUAGUGAAAGACGGUUUUGCUGUCACUUAUAGAUGGAUUCGCGCCGCAUUAGCUAGUUGGUAAGGUAACGGCUUGCCAAGGCAACGAUGCGUAGCCGACCUGAGAGGGUGAUCGGCCACACUGGAACUGAGACACGGUCCAGACUCCUACGGGAGGCAGCAGUAGGGAAUCUUCCGCAAUGGGCGAAAGCUUGACGGAGCAACGCCGCGUGAGUGAUGAAGGUCUUCGGAUCGUAAAACUCUGUUAUUAGGGAAGAACAAAUGUGUAAGUAACUAUGCACGUCUUGACGGUACCUAAUCAGAAAGCCACGGCUAACUACGUG
RNAcentral lists this ribosomal RNA (497 nucleotides) under uncultured bacterium. Its description in RNAcentral is "partial 16S ribosomal RNA". It matches the Rfam family "Bacterial small subunit ribosomal RNA", at positions 28 to 507 of the family's 1533-position model. The record is from RNAcentral.